UCAGAGAAAAAUUUUGGUUGAUGGUUUGA
Molecule: non-coding RNA, 29 nt
Filed under: Mus musculus (house mouse)
Lineage: Eukaryota; Metazoa; Chordata; Mammalia; Rodentia; Muridae
Source: RNAcentral